RNAcentral lists this long non-coding RNA (581 nucleotides) under Salmo salar (Atlantic salmon). Its description in RNAcentral is "lncRNA (ENSSSAG00000096316.1)". The record is from RNAcentral. Lineage: Eukaryota; Metazoa; Chordata; Actinopteri; Salmoniformes; Salmonidae.
AAUCAUCAGAACCAAUAUAACGCUUCGCCCAGCAGGCUCACGACCAAUCAUCAGAACCAAUAUAACGCUUCGCCCAGCAGGCUCACGACCAAUCAUCAGAACCAAUAUAACGCUUCGCCCAGCAGGCUCACGACCAAUCAUCAGAACCAAUAUAACGCUUCGCCCAGCAGGCUCACGACCAGGCUCACGACCAAUCAUCAGAACCAAUAUAACGCUUCGCCCAGCAGGCUCACGACCAAUCAUCAGAACCAAUAUAACGCUUCGCCCAGCAGGCUCACGACCAAUCAUCAGAACCAAUAUAACGCUUCGCCCAGCAGGCUCACGACCAAUCAUCAGAACCAAUAUAACGCUUCGCCCAGCAGGCUCACGACCAAUCAUCAGAACCAAUAUAACGCUUCGCCCAGCAGGCUCACGACCAGGCUCACGACCAAUCAUCAGAACCAAUAUAACGCUUCGCCCAGCAGGCUCACGACCAAUCAUCAGGGCUAUAUUUACGCAAUAGCAAUGUAGCGUUUUUCAGCAUCCCAACAGCUUUACGGUUGAACGGUGAUUGAAACAGAGACCGUCUAAUCAACAAAAAA